UACGUAGGGUGCGAGCGUUAAUCGGAAUUACUGGGCGUAAAGCGUGCGCAGGCGGUUAUGUAAGACAGGGGUGAAAUCCCAGGGCUUAACCUUGGAACUGCAUUCGUGACUGCAUAGCUAGAGUACGGUAGAGGGGGAUGGAAUUCCGCGUGUAGCAGUGAAAUGCGUAGAUAUGCGGAGGAACACCGAUGGCGAAGGCAAUCCCCUGGACCUGUACUGACGCUCAUGCACGAAAGCGUGGGGAGCAAACAGG
This 253-nucleotide ribosomal RNA is filed under the name uncultured bacterium. RNAcentral describes it as "partial 16S ribosomal RNA". It matches the Rfam family "Bacterial small subunit ribosomal RNA", at positions 524 to 776 of the family's 1533-position model. The record is from RNAcentral.